RNAcentral lists this ribosomal RNA (270 nucleotides) under unidentified marine bacterioplankton. RNAcentral describes it as "partial 16S ribosomal RNA". It matches the Rfam family "Bacterial small subunit ribosomal RNA", at positions 55 to 339 of the family's 1533-position model. The record is from RNAcentral. RNAcentral also lists the same sequence under 1 other name.
AUGCAAGUCGAACGAAGGCUCUAGCUUGCUAGAUGUCCUUAGUGGCGGACGGGUGAGUAACGCGUGGGAACCAACCUUGGAGCGGGGAAUAACUAUUGGAAACGAUAGCUAAUACCGCAUACGCCCUCAGGGGGAAAGGCUUCGGCCACUCUAAGACGGUCCCGCGUCUGAUUAGCUAGUUGGUGAGGUAAUGGCUCGCCAAGGCGACGACCAGUAGCUGGUCUGAGAGGAUGACCAGCCACACUGGGACUGAGACACGGCCCAGACUCC